UCCCCAGUAGCUCAGUUGGCAGAGCAGAUGGCUGUUAACCAUCUUGUCCGCGGUUCGAGUCCGUGCUGGGGAGCCA
This 76-nucleotide transfer RNA is filed under the name Deltaproteobacteria bacterium. RNAcentral describes it as "tRNA-Asn". It matches the Rfam family "tRNA". Rfam says of the family: Transfer RNA (tRNA) molecules are approximately 80 nucleotides in length. Their secondary structure includes four short double-helical elements and three loops (D, anti-codon, and T loops). Further hydrogen bonds mediate the characteristic L-shaped molecular structure. tRNAs have two regions of fundamental functional importance: the anti-codon, which is responsible for specific mRNA codon recognition, and the 3' end, to which the tRNAs corresponding amino acid is attached (by aminoacyl-tRNA synthetases). tRNAs cope with the degeneracy of the genetic code in two manners: having more than one tRNA (with a specific anti-codon) for a particular amino acid; and 'wobble' base-pairing, i.e. permitting non-standard base-pairing at the 3rd anti-codon position. Lineage: Bacteria; Pseudomonadati; Myxococcota; Myxococcia. The record is from RNAcentral. RNAcentral also lists the same sequence under 3 other names.